Molecule: ribosomal RNA, 404 nt
Filed under: Verrucomicrobiota bacterium
Lineage: Bacteria; Pseudomonadati; Verrucomicrobiota
Description: Verrucomicrobia bacterium partial 16S ribosomal RNA
Rfam family: Bacterial small subunit ribosomal RNA
Source: RNAcentral
UGAGGAAUAUUGGUCAAUGGACGCAAGUCUGAACCAGCCAAGUAGCGUGCAGGAUGACGGCCCUAUGGGUUGUAAACCGCUUUCAGCAGGGAAGAUAGUGACGGUACCUGCACAAGAAGCCCCGGCUAACUACGUGCCAGCAGCCGCGGUAAUACGUAGGGGGCGAGCGUUAUCCGGAUUCAUUGGGCGUAAAGCGCGCGCAGGCGGCUCUUCAAGCGGAACCUCUAACCCCGGGGCUCAACCUCGGGCCGGGUUCCGAACUGGAGGGCUCGAGUGCGGUAGAGGCAGGCGGAAUUCCCGGUGUAGCGGUGGAAUGCGCAGAUAUCGGGAAGAACACCGAUGGCGAAGGCAGCCUGCUGGGCCGGCACUGACGCUGAGGCGCGAAAGCUAGGGGAGCGAACAGG